AGAGCGAACGCUGGCGGCAGGCUUAACACAUGCAAGUCGAGCGCCCCGCAAGGGGAGCGGCAGACGGGAGAGUAACACGUGGGAACGUACCUUUCGGUUCGGAACAACCCAGGGAAACUUGGGCUAAUACCGGAUACGCCCGCAAGGGGAAAGAUUUAUCGCCGGAAGAUCGGCCCGCGUCUGAUUAGCUAGUUGGUGAGGUAACGGCUCACCAAGGCGACGAUCAGUAGCUGGUCUGAGAGGAUGAUCAGCCUCACUGGGACUGAGACACGGCCCAGACUCCUACGGGAGGCAGCAGUGGGGAAUAUUGGACAAUGGGCGCAAGCCUGAUCCAGCCAUGCCGCGUGGGUGAUGAAGGCCCUAGGGUUGUAAAGCCCUUUGGCGGGGAAGAUAAUGACGGUACCGCAGAAGAAGCCCGGCUAACUUCGCGCCAGCAGCCGC
RNAcentral lists this ribosomal RNA (441 nucleotides) under uncultured bacterium. RNAcentral describes it as "SSU rRNA". It matches the Rfam family "Bacterial small subunit ribosomal RNA", at positions 26 to 518 of the family's 1533-position model. The record is from RNAcentral.